Molecule: ribosomal RNA, 1093 nt
Filed under: Coniothyrium pyrinum
Lineage: Eukaryota; Fungi; Ascomycota; Dothideomycetes; Pleosporales; Coniothyriaceae
Description: SSU rRNA
Rfam family: Eukaryotic small subunit ribosomal RNA
Source: RNAcentral
UCAAGAUUAGCCAUGCAUGUCUAGUAUAGCAAUCAUGCCGUGAAACUGCGAAUGGCUCAUUAAAUCAGUUAUCGUUUAUUUGAUAGUACCUUACUACUUGGAUAACCGUGGUAAUUCUAGAGCUAAUACAUGCUGAAAACCCCAACUUCGGGAGGGGUGUAUUUAUUAGAUAAAAAACCAACGCCCUUCGGGGCUUCUUGGUGAUUCAUGAUAACUUCACGGAUCGCAUGGCCUUGCGCCGGCGACGGUUCAUUCAAAUUUCUGCCCUAUCAACUUUCGAUGGUAAGGUAUUGGCUUACCAUGGUUUCAACGGGUAACGGGGAAUUAGGGUUCGAUUCCGGAGAGGGAGCCUGAGAAACGGCUACCACAUCCAAGGAAGGCAGCAGGCGCGCAAAUUACCCAAUCCCGACACGGGGAGGUAGUGACAAUAAAUACUGAUACAGGGCUCUUUUGGGUCUUGUAAUUGGAAUGAGUACAAUUUAAACCUCUUAACGAGGAACAAUUGGAGGGCAAGUCUGGUGCCAGCAGCCGCGGUAAUUCCAGCUCCAAUAGCGUAUAUUAAAGUUGUUGCAGUUAAAAAGCUCGUAGUUGAAACUUGGGCCUGGCUGGCAGGUCCGCCUCACCGCGUGUACUUGUCCGGCCGGGCCUUUCCUUCUGGAGAACCUCAUGCCCUUCACUGGGUGUGUUGGGGAACCAGGACUUUUACUUUGAAAAAAUUAGAGUGUUCAAAGCAGGCCUUUGCUCGAAUACGUUAGCAUGGAAUAAUAGAAUAGGACGUGCGGUCCUAUUUUGUUGGUUUCUAGGACCGCCGUAAUGAUUAAUAGGGACAGUCGGGGGCAUCAGUAUUCAAUUGUCAGAGGUGAAAUUCUUGGAUUUAUUGAAGACUAACUACUGCGAAAGCAUUUGCCAAGGAUGUUUUCAUUAAUCAGUGAACGAAAGUUAGGGGAUCGAAGACGAUCAGAUACCGUCGUAGUCUUAACCGUAAACUAUGCCGACUAGGGAUCGGGCGAUGUUCUUUUUCUGACUCGCUCGGCACCUUACGAGAAAUCAAAGUUUUUGGGUUCUGGGGGGAGUAUGGUCGCAAGGUGAAUAG